RNAcentral lists this unclassified non-coding RNA (1178 nucleotides) under Orussus abietinus. RNAcentral's name for it is "uncharacterized LOC105696637, transcript variant X5". Lineage: Eukaryota; Metazoa; Arthropoda; Insecta; Hymenoptera; Orussidae. The record is from RNAcentral.
UCGUUACCCUGGAAUUUUGAAUCAGAUAAGUUAAUUACAUAAAAAAACGAAAUACUUAAACUUAUACAGUCACGCUGCGAUACGCAAGUGAACUGCUACAUUCGGUGUUCAUUUCUACUUAUUUUCUACAAAAUUCUACUUUUACUUUCGAUAAAUCGUUACAUUUUUAAUAAAUAUUCGAAAAACCAUUUUUCCUGUUGUCUUCCAAUUUUUCAGGUGAAUCAUAAAUUCUCCUCAGGCCAAAAGAUUUGGAGUUGCACACAUUCUAGUAUAAACUGAAGUCCAAAAGUGAUGAAGAGCGAUCUCAAGAGCUUCGCGGUUGUCUGGUUGAGGUUGUCCAUAUCCACCAGUGUUGCUCCAAUCGCCAGAAUUGCGUUGAGUGGUUGACCCAAUCUUAGCACCGGAACCGGACCAGAACCAUCCGUUAAUAUUCUGCGGCUGCAGAUCGGGCCGAUCGCAGCCAUUAAAGUUGCACUUGCGUCCAGAUGUCCAGAUAUACCUCACAUUUCCUGUCGCAAAUUCCAAUCGCUAAUUAUAUCAUGAACACACACGAAUAUACAUGCGCCAUUAAUGGAUCCAACCAGAAAUCAUGAUAUUCACAUUCUCAGACGAUUGGAGCCUCGUUAUGUCGAAAGUUGGUCAUCUCGUCGGCUAAAGUAAGCCCCGAUAUUCGCUCAGAAAUAAUCUCGCGUACGAGUACACGAGAACGUCGAGAGGUCAAGAGCGAUCGCCCCAGGCAACUACAGCUCAUUGCCGUCUCAUUUCCUUAGGGGGCGUCACGGACUACUUCUGUUUUUCGCCACGGAAAAAGAUCAGAAAACAGAUGCCAGGAAAAAAGAUCAGAAAACAGAUGCCAGGAAAAAAUAUCAGAAAACAGAUGCCCCGAAGAUUGCCGACAACUUGGCAAGUUAUUUUUCGAAGCGACGGUCAAGUGAAAGUGGGUUGGUUCGACCAGUCGUCUUUUACUUGCAUCCUCUGCAUCUGCAGGUGUGCUAUGCACAUGCACAAGGAUGUAACUCACACGUGACCGUAAAAACUGCAGAAAUGUCCUUCGCUCGUCGUUGAGUGAAAAUAAGGUACAUUUACCUGGUUAAAAUGCGGCAUAUAAGGAGAUCCCAGGAAUAGCCUUACCUUCUACGGUAUAGAUUGUAUGCAAAUGGUAUUAAAUUAUUGUCAAC